This is a long non-coding RNA of Triticum dicoccoides, 608 nucleotides long. RefSeq lists it as uncharacterized. The transcript is spliced from 2 exons. NCBI's taxonomy places the organism in Eukaryota, Viridiplantae, Streptophyta, Magnoliopsida, Poales, Poaceae. The record is from RefSeq and is a predicted model, not a curated record.
ACUCGUCGUCCCACCACAAGUCGUCCAGCGCCUCCUCACUGACAUGCGGCCGCCGCCCCGCGCGUCCUUCCUGCGGCCGCCGCCCCGCUCCUCCUCCGGGCUGCGUGUGCCUCCGCCGUGCUCCUCCUCCCGGCUACGAGGCUGCCGCCCUGAUCCUCCUACCGGCGCCGCUCGGCGCGCCAAGCACAUCCCCGGCCGCCUCCUCCUCUUAUCUUCUCCCGGCGAUGAGCGCCGCACCCAGUACGCGCCCGUCCGUCCCGCUCCUCCUGGUGCCGUACGCCGAGCCCGGUAGGACCUGCUCUCCUGGUCCCCUGCGCCGCCGGUCGCCAGCCCCUUAUGCCUCCCUACGGCAGAAGCCCAUUGUGGCGAGGCGCAGCCGCAGCUGGCCUUCAAGGCGCUGCUGCAGACGCAGCUGUUGAGGGAAGGGAAGUACAUCCAGGACUCCAUCAAGUUCCUCUCUCAUCCCAAGGGGGUGAGCGUUGCUUGAGAAGGUGGAGUGUGCUCCCACAGUGCAGGAAAUCAAGAAGUACUGCCGUUGUAGACUCGUUGUAAAUUCUGAACUGGCUUUGUAUCUACAAAUAGAAAUAAAACUCGUUGUCCAUUCUGAA